Molecule: ribosomal RNA, 654 nt
Filed under: Staphylococcus aureus
Lineage: Bacteria; Bacillati; Bacillota; Bacilli; Caryophanales; Staphylococcaceae
Description: partial 23S ribosomal RNA
Rfam family: Bacterial large subunit ribosomal RNA
Source: RNAcentral
ACAAGUAGUCAGAGCCCGUUAAUGGGUGAUGGCGUGCCUUUUGUAGAAUGAACCGGCGAGUUACGAUUUGAUGCAAGGUUAAGCAGUAAAUGUGGAGCCGUAGCGAAAGCGAGUCUGAAUAGGGCGUUUAGUAUUUGGUCGUAGACCCGAAACCAGGUGAUCUACCCUUGGUCAGGUUGAAGUUCAGGUAACACUGAAUGGAGGACCGAACCGACUUACGUUGAAAAGUGAGCGGAUGAACUGAGGGUAGCGGAGAAAUUCCAAUCGAACCUGGAGAUAGCUGGUUCUCUCCGAAAUAGCUUUAGGGCUAGCCUCAAGUGAUGAUUAUUGGAGGUAGAGCACUGUUUGGACGAGGGGCCCCUCUCGGGUUACCGAAUUCAGACAAACUCCGAAUGCCAAUUAAUUUAACUUGGGAGUCAGAACAUGGGUGAUAAGGUCCGUGUUCGAAAGGGAAACAGCCCAGACCACCAGCUAAGGUCCCAAAAUAUAUGUUAAGUGGAAAAGGAUGUGGCGUUGCCCAGACAACUAGGAUGUUGGCUUAGAAGCAGCCAUCAUUUAAAGAGUGCGUAAUAGCUCACUAGUCGAGUGACACUGCGCCGAAAAUGUACCGGGGCUAAACAUAUUACCGAAGCUGUGGAUUGUCCUUUGGACAAU